This 72-nucleotide transfer RNA is filed under the name Bos taurus (domestic cattle). It matches the Rfam family "tRNA". Rfam says of the family: Transfer RNA (tRNA) molecules are approximately 80 nucleotides in length. Their secondary structure includes four short double-helical elements and three loops (D, anti-codon, and T loops). Lineage: Eukaryota; Metazoa; Chordata; Mammalia; Artiodactyla; Bovidae. RNAcentral also lists the same sequence under 3 other names. The record is from Rfam by way of RNAcentral.
UCCCUCAUGGCUCAGAUGGUAAAGAAUCUGCCUGCAAUGCAGGAGACCCAGGUUCCAUCCCUGGGUUGGGAA